This 439-nucleotide ribosomal RNA is filed under the name uncultured bacterium. RNAcentral's name for it is "partial 16S ribosomal RNA". It matches the Rfam family "Bacterial small subunit ribosomal RNA", at positions 339 to 795 of the family's 1533-position model. The record is from RNAcentral.
CUACGGGAUGCUCCAGUGGGGAAUAUUGCACAAUGGGCGAAAGCCUGAUGCAGCGACGCCGCGUGAGCGAAGAAGUAUUUCGGUAUGUAAAGCUCUAUCAGCAGGGAAGAUAAUGACGGUACCUGACUAAGAAGCACCGGCUAAAUACGUGCCAGCAGCCGCGGUAAUACGUAUGGUGCAAGCGUUAUCCGGAUUUACUGGGUGUAAAGGGAGCGCAGGCGGUACGGCAAGUCUGAUGUGAAAGCCCGGGGCUCAACCCCGGUACUGCAUUGGAAACUGUCGAACUAGAGUGUCGGAGGGGUAAGCGGAAUUCCUAGUGUAGCGGUGAUAUGCGUAGAUAUUAGGAGGAACACCAGUGGCGAAGGCGGCUUACUGGACGAUCACUGACGCUGAGGCUCGAAAGCGUGGGGAGCAAACAGGAUUAGAUACCCCUGUAGUC